AUUGAACGCUGGCGGCAGGCCUAACACAUGCAAGUCGAACGGUAACAGGAAGAAGCUUACUUCUUUGCUGACGAGUGGCGGACGGGUGAGUAAUGUCUGGGAAACUGCCUGAUGGAGGGGGAUAACUACUGGAAACGGUAGCUAAUACCGCAUAACGUCGCAAGACCAAAGAGGGGGACCUUCGGGCCUCUUGCCAUCGGAUGUGCCCAGAUGGGAUUAGCUUGUUGGUGGGGUAACGGCUCACCAAGGCGACGAUCCCUAGCUGGUCUGAGAGGAUGACCAGCCACACUGGAACUGAGACACGGUCCAGACUCCUACGGGAGGCAGCAGUGGGGAAUAUUGCACAAUGGGCGCAAGCCUGAUGCAGCCAUGCCGCGUGUAUGAAGAAGGCCUUCGGGUUAUAAAGUACUUUCAGCGGGGAGGAAGGGAGUAAAGUUAAUACCUUUGCUCAUUGACGUUACCCGCAGAAGAAGCACCGGCUAACUCCGUG
This 490-nucleotide ribosomal RNA is filed under the name uncultured bacterium. RNAcentral's name for it is "partial 16S ribosomal RNA". It matches the Rfam family "Bacterial small subunit ribosomal RNA", at positions 30 to 507 of the family's 1533-position model. The record is from RNAcentral.